AUGCUGCCCCUGGCCGUGGCGCGGUGCCUGGCUUCCCCCUGCUCCGGACGCGUGCUGGUGGCGCCUUGGCCUGUCUCGAGCGGCAUGUUCCAGUCCGCGUGGUGGUUGGAGGUGGAUGUGGUGAGGUGGAAGUGGGUCGGCAUGGAAGGCAGGGCGUCGGCGCCACCAGUGGUUGACCCGCUCGCGCAACUCCGAUGGGUGUUGGGUUCCAUGAUCUUGGUCAGGAGAAAUCCAUGCUUCGAAGAGGCCGACGAUAGUGACGCUCGUGGGCACCGUUCCUUCCCUGGAGGCGUUGUUUUGGCCCUGAUCUGGCUCCCUUCCUCGGGCUUAAGGGAAACCUUUGGUCCGUCCACCGGACCAGGCGGCGACGACGUCAUAGCGUCGUUUUUUUUUGAAGGCGUCGUCUUGUUGCUCGAGGAGUCUCAAUGGUGGGCUUCUAGGAUGUUUUCGUUAGAAAAAUGA
Molecule: ribosomal RNA, 462 nt
Filed under: Triticum aestivum (bread wheat)
Lineage: Eukaryota; Viridiplantae; Streptophyta; Magnoliopsida; Poales; Poaceae
Description: partial small subunit ribosomal RNA
Source: RNAcentral